RNAcentral lists this ribosomal RNA (512 nucleotides) under uncultured bacterium. RNAcentral describes it as "partial 16S ribosomal RNA". It matches the Rfam family "Bacterial small subunit ribosomal RNA", at positions 28 to 523 of the family's 1533-position model. The record is from RNAcentral.
GACGAACGCUGGCGGCGUGCCUAAUACAUGCAAGUCGAGCGGAUGGAAGGAAGCUUGCUUCCUAAAGUCGGCGGCGGACGGGUGAGUAACACGUGGGCAACCUGCCCCUAAGAUCGGGAUAACUUCGGGAAACCGGAGCUAAUACCGGAUAUGAUUAUGUCUCACAUGGGACAUAAUGGAAAGACGGUUUCGGCUGUCACUUAGGGAUGGGCCCGCGGCGCAUUAGCUAGUUGGUGAGGUAACGGCUCACCAAGGCGACGAUGCGUAGCCGACCUGAGAGGGUGAUCGGCCACACUGGGACUGAGACACGGCCCAGACUCCUACGGGAGGCAGCAGUAGGGAAUCUUCCGCAAUGGACGAAAGUCUGACGGAGCAACGCCGCGUGAGUGAAGAAGGUUUUCGGAUCGUAAAACUCUGUUGUUAGGGAAGAACAAGUACCAUAGUAACUGAUGGUACCUUGACGGUACCUAACCAGAAAGCCACGGCUAACUACGUGCCAGCCGCCGCAGUAA